Molecule: ribosomal RNA, 438 nt
Filed under: uncultured bacterium
Lineage: Bacteria
Description: partial 16S ribosomal RNA
Rfam family: Bacterial small subunit ribosomal RNA
Source: RNAcentral
AGCGAACGCUGGCGGCAGGCCUAACACAUGCGAGUCGAACGAACUCUUCGGAGUUAGUGGCGGACGGGUGAGUAACACGUGGGAACGUGCCUUUAGGUUCGGAAUAACUCAGGGAAACUUGUGCUAAUACCGAAUGUGCCCUUCGGGGGAAAGAUUUAUCGCCUUUAGAGCGGCCCGGGGGUGAUUAGCUAGUUGGUGAGGUAAAGGCUCAACAAGGCGACGAUCGGUAGCUGGUCUGAGAGGAUGAUCGGCCACAGUGGGACUGAGACACGGCCCAAACGGCGACGGGAGGGAGCAGUGGGGAAUAGUGCAAUAUGGGCGGAAGCCUGAUGCAGCAACGCCGCGUGCGGGAAGACGGCAGUCGGGUUGUAAACCGCUGUCGCCUGUGACGAAGCGUGAGUGACGGGAAUGGGUAAAGAAGCACCGGCUAACUACGUG